CAGUAGCCGCGGUAAAACGUAGGGUGCGAGCGUUAAUCGGAAUUAUUGGGCGUAAAGGGUGCGUAGGCGGUUUGAUAAGUCAUCUGUGAAAUCUCUGGGCUCAACCCAGAGUCUGCAGGCGAAACUGUCGGGCUUGAGUAUGGGAGAGGUGAGUGGAAUUUCCGGUGUAGCGGUGAAAUGCGUUGAGAUCGGAAAGAACACCAACGGCGAAAGCACUCUGCUGGGCCGACACUGACACUGAGAGACGAAAGCUAGGGGAGCAAAUGGGAUUAGAGACCCCUGUAGUCCCUGUCUCUUAUAC
RNAcentral lists this ribosomal RNA (301 nucleotides) under uncultured bacterium. RNAcentral's name for it is "partial 16S ribosomal RNA". It matches the Rfam family "Bacterial small subunit ribosomal RNA", at positions 509 to 807 of the family's 1533-position model. The record is from RNAcentral.